UACGUAGGGGGCGAGCGUUGUCCGGAAUUAUUGGGCGUAAAGGGCUCGUAGGCGGUUUGUCGAGUCGGGCGUGAAAACACCGGGCUUAACUCGGUGCUUGCUUUCGAUACGGGCAGACUAGAGGCAUGCAGGGGAGAACGGAAUUCCUGGUGUAGCGGUGAAAUGCGCAGAUAUCAGGAGGAACACCGGUGGCGAAGGCGGUUCUCUGGGCAUGUCCUGACGCUGAGGAGCGAAAGUGUGGGGAGCGAACAGG
This 253-nucleotide ribosomal RNA is filed under the name uncultured bacterium. RNAcentral's name for it is "partial 16S ribosomal RNA". It matches the Rfam family "Bacterial small subunit ribosomal RNA", at positions 524 to 776 of the family's 1533-position model. The record is from RNAcentral.